Molecule: long non-coding RNA, 3320 nt
Filed under: Citrus x clementina
Lineage: Eukaryota; Viridiplantae; Streptophyta; Magnoliopsida; Sapindales; Rutaceae
Description: Citrus clementina (C. clementina) long non-coding RNA (CCLE_LNC005642)
Source: RNAcentral
AUAUGAGGAAAUGGGGAAAUGGGUAGGGGAUAUGGAUUCCACCUCAUCCUCAUUCCUUUCCCGAAUAAAAACCUGGGUAAAAAAUCGUCUCCGUCCCUUCCCCGAAUAAGAAAUUGGGUAUAAAAUUAUCCUCAUACCCUCUCCGAAUAGGAAAAAUCCCCAAGGGUCCCCGUCCCUGUGGGAAUUUUUGUCAUCCCUAGCUCAGAUCAUGAGAGGAUCAUGAUCCAAUUGGCUUUGACUAUUCACUUGCUAAUUAGAUUCUUGAAAUGGUCAUAUAUUACUCCCCAAAAUUAAUUUAUGCAUAUAAAUACAAUCGUUCUAAUUUUACGUCCAUUAUAGACCACUGGUCAGAAUUCUCAUUUCUGAUUUCUUAAGAUUGAUUAGUUUAAAUAUAGAUGAAUCUAUGUGUAACAUUCAUAUAGCUUGAUUAGAGCACGCAUGUGAACUUUGUUUGACCCAUGAAGUCCAAGAAAAGAUAACAAGUAGUUGAUUACUGAUUAGGACAAACUCUAAUUUUUUUCCCCUUGCUCAAUAUGAAGGGAACAAUCCUGCAAUUAUCUGAAAUGACUUAAAGCAUGCAUAUUGUGUUAAUCAUCUCCCAAUAACCCAUGCAAAAGUUUGACGAUUUGACUAAUGAUUCGAUUAAAGAUGUAUUAAAAAUGACAUUUUAGUUACUCAAAUAAUGAGUCAAAAAAUUAUUUUUAAGGAGGAAAAAAAAGGGUCUAUGGCAUAAUUAAUGAGUGAAUGGGCAACUAUGGUUAAACCAAACUUUAGGUUGGAUUCGGUUCGGUUUAAGCUAUAGUCUCCACUGGAUUGAAAAUUAGAGCCCGUUCGACGAGAAUCCAAGUUAAAGUCUAUUUGGAUUAGCAUUAAAAAUAUACAUUGUUUGGGAAGGAAACAUGAGGCCAACGAUGAAGCGCCACGUGUCGAUAUUUAAAAAAUUGGCUUACCUCGGGUACUUUGAGUACCCUAGGUACCCUGACUACCCUAAGUACUCUGGGGAUACCUCAGGUACACUAUGUAGGGGUGUAAAAAGUCUUUGUAAAAAUGUCAAGGGAUAGGUGGGCCCCGAAUCUAAAAAAGAUCGGUUGAAUACGUGUCAAAAAAUAAGGAAUCGAUGAGGAAAUCUCGUGCUACAAAAGAGGAGACAGCCGCCUAUCACGCCAGCGAAUCAACCAAAAGUUUGAUAAUAUGACAAUUGGGACCACCAGUUUUUCCUGCCACGCCUGUAAAAUUACAACGGAAUUGCUGAGGUAUGCAUGACCACUCCACUACACCUAGCACGUGAAUACGCCUCAAACUUACUCUCUACGCAUAUUUUUGAAAUACCUAAGCCGCCUGAAAAUAAGAAUAUUCUUGACAUAACAGCAGAGAAUGCCAAUAAUAUAACGCCAUGUGGCACAGCGACCCGAGGUACACCAUAUAAAUACUCAGGUUUAAUCUUCAACCUCAAAACUUCCAUUACUGAGAGCUUGCAAGCUCUUUAACAUGAGAUAACCCAACUCUAACUUAAGCGUCGGAGUGUGGUCGCUGGCCACCUCCGGCUCCACCUUUGACCUCUUUUAUGGUUUUUUAGCAGGUUUAAGACGAUUUUUGCCAGCCCUCCGCACCUGGACUCAAACCCCGUCUAUAUCCACCGCCAUCUCAAUCCCUCUCCGCUCCAUAAAAAAGCCUAAACAGCCCGCACGCACCGAACAAGUGAGGCACCUCGCUCCUCGACAAAAAACAAAUUUAUUGUUCUUAACUUGGUUUUGUGGUUUUUUAUUCAUUGACCCAAAAUCAGCCGCAAACAUAUAUACAUAUAUAUAGGGUACUGUUCCAAUCCGGGAGUCCCAAAUUGGAAUAGUUUUCGGGACAAAACGGUCCACCAUGUGCAGCCCACCAAAAAAAAAAAAACCAGCAGCGACCAUUGGAUUCCCGGACAAUUAUCCAAUCUAGGACUCCCGAAUUGGAUCACUGUCCCCCCCCCCCCCACACACACUCUCUCGCUCUCUAUCUCUCUCUCUCUCUCUCACAGCCUCACUUCCACACACCCGCAUGACGCCGACACCUAAGGUUGUCCCAUGUCAGUUUCGUUCCGAUGUUGCAGCUUCUAGCCUGAUUGUCGUCUCUUCCGUCUCUACUGACUGUUGUAGCUGACUUGCUUCUGAUCCAUCAAGGUUACUUCUUUUUCUUCUUCGUAUAAUUAUUAAUUGUUAUUAUAAACAAUUGAUUUUAAAUUAUUUUUAUGGCAAUGUGUUGAUUUAAAAUUGAGCAAAUUUGAUGGCGACUGAUGAUUCAAUAAUUAGGUGAAUUGGACGGUUGCUUCUCUCAAAGAGUAAGAGGGUAAGAAACUGUUUCAACCCGAAUUAACUUGAACUGAAAUUUGAACCCAAAUUACCAAGUCGAUUUGAUCUGAAUUUCAAACCUAACCUGAUCAAGUUGCAACCCAAACAAUCUAAAGCAAAACCUAAUUUGCCCAUCCCCACUGCCUACAUUAAAAAAGGGUUUAAAAAUUUGGGGCUAGGCUUACAGUAAUAAGGUGUUUGAAGUGAAAGGAAGAGUAGUGAUAUCUGACCCCGUAAUUUCUCUCAUUAAGCCUAUUUUUCAAUUAAUCUCACUUAUUUCUACAAUUAUUCUUGUUAAAUAAAAAAUAAUUAAUAAUAAUAAUAAUUGAAUAAACAAAUAUAACAUAAACCAUAUCCAUCUUCCACCACCACUAUCAUCACGUCAACCCAUUGCAUCAUUAGCUCUUAGUCACCGAUUGACCCUACAAUCAAAUUUCCCAACAGCUGCCGACCAAAAUCCUUCAUUUAUUUGAAUUGAUUUUAGUGAUAUUGAUAUGUUAGUACUAAAAUCAAAAUAAUAUCAAAUGAAAAGAGGUAAAAAAAAACAAUAAUCUCAUAAAUCAAGAAAUUAUAAAUUAAUUGGAACGAAUGAUAAAUAAUGAAGAUACAUCAAUAAAACGAUUGAGAUUGCAGUGAAUGAUAAAGAAUAGUGGCUUGAAGUGGUGAUAAUGGUAGUGGAAAGAUGACUAGGCUCUAUGGAAUUAUUUUUAUUUUUAAUGAGAAUAAUUUUAGAAAUAAAUAGAAUUAAUUGAAUAAUGAGGGUAAUUUUAGAAAUAAAAAUAAUUAAUGAGGGCUAGUAAAAAAAUUAAGAGGUCAAAUAUCACCACUCAAAAAGAAAAUAGAGACAAUUUAUAAAAUGAAGGAGUAGCACUACAUGCAUCCCUCAAGUAUUCUCUUGAAACUAACUGGGAUCGGUAAUUUGUAGGCUUGGGCUAGACUUUUCUAAGCCCAGGCUCCAACCCACAUUAUUAUUUUUUGAAUAAAAUGAAGCCC